This 829-nucleotide ribosomal RNA is filed under the name uncultured Alphaproteobacteria bacterium. RNAcentral's name for it is "bacterial SSU rRNA". It matches the Rfam family "Bacterial small subunit ribosomal RNA", at positions 60 to 938 of the family's 1533-position model. Lineage: Bacteria; Pseudomonadati; Pseudomonadota; Alphaproteobacteria. The record is from RNAcentral.
AGUCGAGCGAGGUAGCAAUACCUAGCGGCAGACGGGUGCGUAACAUGUGGGAAUCUGCCUUUUGGUUCGGAAUAACACGGGGAAACCUGUGCUAAUACCGGAUAAGUCCUUACGGAGAAAGUUUUAAUGCCAAAAGAUGAGCCCGCAUUUGAUUAGUUUGUUGGUGAGGUAAUGGCUCACCAAGACUACAAUCAAUAGCUGAUUUGAGAGGAUGAUCAGCCACACUGGGACUGAGAUACGGCCCAGACUCCUACGGGAGGCAGCAGUGGGGAAUCUUGCACAAUGGGCGAAAGCCUGAUGCAGCGAUGCCGCGUGAGUGAAGAAGGCCUUUGGGUUGUAAAGCUCUUUUGUCGGGAAAGAUAAUGACUGUACCCGAAGAAUAAGGUCCGGCUAACUUCGUGCCAGCAGCCGCGGUAAUACGAAGGGACCUAGCGUAGUUCGGAAUUACUGGGCGUAAAGAGUAUGUAGGCGGCUAGAUAAGUUAAUUGUGAAAGCCCAAAGCUUAACUUUGGAAUUGCAAUUAAAACUAUUUAGCUAGAGUAUGAUAGAGGAAAGCGGAAUACAUAGUGUAGAGGUGAAAUUCGUAGAUAUUAUGUAGAACACCAGUUGCGAAGGCGGCUUUCUGGAUCAUUACUGACGCUGAGAUACGAAAGUAUGGGUAGCGAAGAGGAUUAGAUACCCUCGUAGUCCAUACUGUAAACGAUGAUUAUUAGAUGUGGGGAAUUAUUUCUCUGUAUCACAGCUAACGCGUUAAAUAAUCCGCCUGGGGAGUACGACCGNCAGGUUAAAACUCAAAUGAAUUGACGGGGACCCGCACAAGCGGUGGAGC